Non-coding RNA from Rhopilema esculentum, 804 nucleotides. The record is from RefSeq and is a predicted model, not a curated record. NCBI's taxonomy places the organism in Eukaryota, Metazoa, Cnidaria, Scyphozoa, Rhizostomeae, Rhizostomatidae.
GGAUACAUCUACCUGGAGUCUUGAAUUUAACAGGCACAUUCCAAGAAAGCCUAUGAAGUUGGUGUUUUCCAAAAAAGAGGAUGCCCCACUCAUAGCUGAUAAAGCAGGAGAUGUCCACAGAAUUUAUUUGAAAGAUGAAAAAGUUGAACAUCUUAUUGGUCAUUUAUCAGUUAUCCUAGAUAUGGUGAGUAAAAAAUGUUACUCUAUUAAACAAUGUCUCCCAAGAACAAUGUUUUACUUUUCUCCCAAGAAAAACCUGGGGAAGAACUCCUUUGCAUUACUUUAACAAUUGUACUUGACACAUACUGCUAUAACUGCAUUGCUUGCAUGUUCGAAAUCUGGAAACACUCUAUUUUUAUAUGACAAUUUAAAAUGGAGUAAAACACCACAAAACAAUGAAUUUACAAAGCAUUGUGGUGUUUGAAUAUUUCAUAUAGCAUUCCAUGUGUAUACAUUCUGUCUUGUGUAAUAUAAUUUAUGAUACUGCUCUGGCUAAGUUUGUUCAAGUUACAAACAAGAUUUUAAGGAAAUUAUUAGUUGUAGACAUAAACUAACACAAGAAUAAGGUUUAAAAGACCUAGAGGAACACAUUUAUGUAUAUUUUAUUCUAAGAUAUUCUGUUGCUUUCACAUACCCUUCCAUAUAUAUAGCUUUCCAUUUAGCAUUCUAUUCCAUCAUUCUACCACUCCAUGUUUUAUAAUUUUACUGCACUAUACACCUCAUUUGUUUUUAUAAACAAACAAAAAUGUCCCCCUCGCUUAUUUCAUUUUUGUGAAUUUCUAAACCUCUGCUUAUUAAGACCCC